ACUCUUUUCAGUAGCAGCAUUCACUAAAAUGGGAUUGACAAAGAUUAGCACGGGCCCUGGGUAAGGAUGACACACAAAUUCCUGAAGCGUUCCAUUUUUUA
This 101-nucleotide small nuclear RNA is filed under the name Nannospalax galili (Upper Galilee mountains blind mole rat). The record is from RNAcentral. Lineage: Eukaryota; Metazoa; Chordata; Mammalia; Rodentia; Spalacidae.